This 358-nucleotide ribosomal RNA is filed under the name uncultured Bacteroides sp. RNAcentral describes it as "partial 16S ribosomal RNA". It matches the Rfam family "Bacterial small subunit ribosomal RNA", at positions 346 to 702 of the family's 1533-position model. The record is from RNAcentral. Lineage: Bacteria; Pseudomonadati; Bacteroidota; Bacteroidia; Bacteroidales; Bacteroidaceae.
AGGCAGCAGUGAGGAUAUUGGUCAAUGGACGAGAGUCUGAACCAGCCAAGUAGCGUGAAGGAUGACUGCCCUAUGGGUUGUAAACUUCUUUUAUAUGGGAAUAAAGUGRKSCACGUGUGSMYUUUUGUAUGUACCRUAYGAAUAAGGAUCGGCUAACUCCGUGCCAGCAGCCGCGGUAAUACGGAGGAUCCRAGCGUUAUCCGGAUUUAUUGGGUUUAAAGGGAGCGUAGGCGGAYUVUUAAGUCAGYUGUGAAAGUUUGCGGCUCAACCGUAAAAUUGCAGUUGAUACUGGYYGUCUUGAGUGCAGUAGAGGYRGGCGGAAUUCGUGGUGUAGCGGUGAAAUGCUUAGAUAUCACGA